UGUAGAUUCUAAUAAACAUGGCUUGCAGGAGUCGAUGAACAAAGGUACUUAAUGCGGACCUAAGCCUCCGUUGAUAUUGCUCCGCUGGCAGUAUCUAAAUAUUCAAAAGCAAAGUGGCUCUCUCGCUGCCAUGACACUCAAUCAAAACACCUAGAGUGAGCUGGCUGAGACCAGAGGGGGUACCAAGCAGAGCAAGGACAGAGGAAGGCACUAGGAGAGCGCCAGAAUUGGAAAGAGAGCAGCCAUUUGGAUUUGGGCAGGAAGCAGCCGAGCACAGCUUUGGAUCCUUCUUUAGGGAAAUCGAGUUAUGGAUUUAUGGUCCCGGUCAAGCUCAGCCCAACCCCAGGCAGGGGCGGGCUCAGCAGC
Molecule: long non-coding RNA, 366 nt
Filed under: Sus scrofa (pig)
Lineage: Eukaryota; Metazoa; Chordata; Mammalia; Artiodactyla; Suidae
Description: lncRNA (ENSSSCG00070012197.1)
Source: RNAcentral